RNAcentral lists this ribosomal RNA (618 nucleotides) under Pseudomonas sp. HPC 919. Its description in RNAcentral is "bacterial SSU rRNA". It matches the Rfam family "Bacterial small subunit ribosomal RNA", at positions 34 to 645 of the family's 1533-position model. Lineage: Bacteria; Pseudomonadati; Pseudomonadota; Gammaproteobacteria; Pseudomonadales; Pseudomonadaceae. The record is from RNAcentral.
AGCUUACACGGCCCCCGUACCUUUGCACCCCGACCGGUAGCGGGUCCUUCGGGAUGCCGGCGAGCGGCGGACGGGUGAGUAAUGCCUAGGAAUCUGCCUGGUAGUGGGGGAUAACUCGGGGAAACUCGAGCUAAUACCGCAUACGUCCUACGGGAGAAAGUGGGGGAUCUUCGGACCUCACGCUAUCAGAUGAGCCUAGGUCGGAUUAGCUAGUUGGUGAGGUAAAGGCUCACCAAGGCGACGAUCCGUAACUGGUCUGAGAGGAUGAUCAGUCACACUGGAACUGAGACACGGUCCAGACUCCUACGGGAGGCAGCAGUGGGGAAUAUUGGACAAUGGGCGAAAGCCUGAUCCAGCCAUGCCGCGUGUGUGAAGAAGGUCUUCGGAUUGUAAAGCACUUUAAGUUGGGAGGAAGGGCAGUAAGUUAAUACCUUGCUGUUUUGACGUUACCAACAGAAUAAGCCCCGGCUAACUUCGUGCCAGCAGCCGCGGUAAUACGAAGGGUGCAAGCGUUAAUCGGAAUUACUGGGCGUAAAGCGCGCGUAGGUGGUUCAGCAAGUUGGAGGUGAAAUCCCCGGGCUCAACCUGGGGAACUGCCUCAAAACUACUGGGGCUAAG